GACGAAGGAUCCAAGCGUUAUCCGGAUUUAUUGGGUUUAAAGGGUGCGUAGGCGGAUUGAUAAGUCAGUGGUGAAAGCCUGCAGCUUAACUGCAGAACUGCCAUUGAUACUGUCAAUCUUGAAUAUGUUUGAUGUGGGCGGAAUAUGACAUGUAGCGGUGAAAUGCUUAGAUAUGUCAUAGAACACCGAUUGCGAAGGCAGCUCACAAAGCCAUUAUUGACGCUGAGGCACGAAAGCGUGGGGAUCAAACAGG
This 253-nucleotide ribosomal RNA is filed under the name uncultured bacterium. Its description in RNAcentral is "partial 16S ribosomal RNA". It matches the Rfam family "Bacterial small subunit ribosomal RNA", at positions 524 to 776 of the family's 1533-position model. The record is from RNAcentral.